GAAGGGCUUCAACUGAACUGCUAAUUCUCACAACUGAAACUAAAACCUCAGACCCUUC
RNAcentral lists this transfer RNA (58 nucleotides) under Phrynocephalus erythrurus parva. Its description in RNAcentral is "tRNA-Ser". The record is from RNAcentral. Lineage: Eukaryota; Metazoa; Chordata; Lepidosauria; Squamata; Agamidae.